AACGAACGCUGGCGGCGCGCCUAACACAUGCAAGUCGAACGAGAAGGCGUAGCAAUACGCUUGUAAAGUGGCGAACGGGUGAGGAAUACGUGGGUAACCUACCCUCGAGUGGGGAAUAACCAACCGAAAGGUUGGCUAAUGCCGCGUACGCUUCCAUCUCUUCGGAGGUGGAAGGAAAGCUGUACCGUGGGUACAGCGCUCAAGGAUGGGCUCACGUCCUAUCAGCUUGUUGGUAGGGUAACGGCCACCAAGGCAACGACGGGUAGCUGGUCUGAGAGGACGAUCAGCCACACUGGCACUGCGACACGGGCCAGACUCCUACGGGAGGCAGCAGUGAGGAAUAUUGCGCAAUGGGCGAAAGCCUGACGCAGCGACGCCG
Molecule: ribosomal RNA, 379 nt
Filed under: uncultured bacterium
Lineage: Bacteria
Description: bacterial SSU rRNA
Rfam family: Bacterial small subunit ribosomal RNA
Source: RNAcentral